This 108-nucleotide ribosomal RNA is filed under the name Bacillus inaquosorum. Lineage: Bacteria; Bacillati; Bacillota; Bacilli; Caryophanales; Bacillaceae. The record is from RNAcentral.
CGCUAGCGAAGAGGUCACACCCGUUCCCAUACCGAACACGGAAGUUAAGCUCUUCAGCGCCGAUGGUAGUCGGGGGUUUCCCCCUGUGAGAGUAGGACGCCGCCAAGC